Molecule: ribosomal RNA, 400 nt
Filed under: uncultured bacterium
Lineage: Bacteria
Description: partial 16S ribosomal RNA
Rfam family: Bacterial small subunit ribosomal RNA
Source: RNAcentral
UGGGGAAUAUUGGACAAUGGGGGCAACCCUGAUCCAGCAAUGCCGCGUGUGUGAAGAAGGUCUUCGGAUUGUAAAGCACUUUCGACGGGGACGAUGAUGACGGUACCCGUAGAAGAAGCCCCGGCUAACUUCGUGCCAGCAGCCGCGGUAAUACGAAGGGGGCUAGCGUUGCUCGGAAUGACUGGGCGUAAAGGGCGUGUAGGCGGUUUACACAGUCAGAUGUGAAAUCCCCGGGCUUAACCUGGGAGCUGCAUUUGAUACGUGUAGACUAGAGUGUGAGAGAGGGUUGUGGAAUUCCCAGUGUAGAGGUGAAAUUCGUAGAUAUUGGGAAGAACACCGGUGGCGAAGGCGGCAACCUGGCUCAUGACUGACGCUGAGGCGCGAAAGCGUGGGGAGCAAA